This 618-nucleotide ribosomal RNA is filed under the name uncultured bacterium. RNAcentral describes it as "bacterial SSU rRNA". It matches the Rfam family "Bacterial small subunit ribosomal RNA", at positions 338 to 956 of the family's 1533-position model. The record is from RNAcentral.
CCUACGGGAGGCAGCAGUGGGGAAUUUUGGACAAUGGGCGAAAGCCUGAUCCAGCAAUGCCGCGUGAGUGAAGAAGGCCUUCGGGUUGUAAAGCUCUUUUGUCAGGGAAGAAACGGUGAGAGCUAAUAUCUCUUGCUAAUGACGGUACCCGAAGAAUAAGCACCGGCUAACUACGUGCCAGCAGCCGCGGUAAUACGUAGGGUGCAAGCGUUAAUCGGAAUUACUGGGCGUAAAGCGUGCGCAGGCGGUUUUGUAAGUCUGUCGUGAAAUCCCCGGGCUCAACCUGGGAAUUGCGAUGGAGACUGCAAGGCUAGAAUCUGGCAGAGGGGGGUAGAAUUCCACGUGUAGCAGUGAGAUGCGUAGAGAUGUGGAGGAACACCGAUGGCGAAGGCAGCCCCCUGGGUCAAGAUUGACGCUCAUGCACGAAAGCGUGGGGAGCAAACAGGAUUAGAUACCCUGGUAGUCCACGCCCUAAACGAUGUCUACUAGUUGUCGGGUUUUAAUAACUUGGUAACGCAGCUAACGCGUGAAGUAGACCGCCUGGGGAGUACGGUCGCAAGNUUAAAACUCAAAUUGAAUUGACCGGNNGAGAGNGCGACGACGACGACGAGGAGGAGG